This 220-nucleotide ribosomal RNA is filed under the name uncultured bacterium. RNAcentral describes it as "partial 16S ribosomal RNA". It matches the Rfam family "Bacterial small subunit ribosomal RNA", at positions 57 to 305 of the family's 1533-position model. The record is from RNAcentral.
GCAAGUCGAGCGCUCACUUCGGUGGGAGCGGCAGACGGGUGAGUAACGCGUGGGAAUCUACCUAGCUCUACGGAAUAACAGUUGGAAACGACUGCUAAUACCGUAUACGCCCUCCGGGGGAAAGAUUUAUUGGAGUUAGAUGAGCCCGCGUUAGAUUAGCUAGUUGGUGGGGUAAUGGCCUACCAAGGCGACGAUCUAUAGCUGGUCUGAGAGGAUGAUC